RNAcentral lists this long non-coding RNA (660 nucleotides) under Carassius auratus (goldfish). Its description in RNAcentral is "lncRNA (ENSCARG00000027033.1)". Lineage: Eukaryota; Metazoa; Chordata; Actinopteri; Cypriniformes; Cyprinidae. The record is from RNAcentral.
CGCUAUCUUUCUGAUGAAGUGUUAUAUCCAGCAGGGACAUGAGUGUAAAGUCAGAAGUCUGGAAAUAAUGACUGAUUGUAUGUAUCUUUGUAAUAUUAUCACACAGUAUGUGACUUACGAUCAGAUCUGAAUGUGUUUGUUCUUCUGUCUCACAGCUUCAUCUUCUUUUCCGGUCGUUGCUGUGGUUGCGGGAUCGAGUGUUUUCUUGUUGAUCUUCAUCUCUCUGCUGCUGCUGUGGAGAUACAAGAAGAACAAAGGUCUCUGAGUGCAGUGAAGACAACAGACGGCUAAAAGAGAUUCACAGCAGCAGACACAGUGACGCUUGCAUUGCUUCAGAAAUGAAUCUGAGUGAACUGCUUACACACGUGCUUGAUUCAGUUACUUUAGAGAUACAUAUGCACUGUUAUCUCUAAACAUAUUACGUAAGCUAAACAAAUGGUUCUGUAGCAUAUUAAUUAAGAUCCAGCGCCAAAUGCCAGCUCUCAUCAGAAAAUAUCAGUUUUGUCUGGUAACUGUAACGCCACACACGCAGAGGAAGACCUCACCUGAGUACUGACUGUUCAUCGCUCCCUCUGCGUCUACAAUCGUUUCAUGUUUGGCACUAUUUAACACUGUCUAAAACUGCCUGUUUUCAUGUUCUUCUUGGAUUGCCCCUUUAGA